UACGGUGGGCUCCCUGGCCUGGAUCAUCAACAAUUUAUGCAUAAUAUGCUAUGGACAAUACUAAGAAGGCCAUUCGCAUCAUCUUCCUUGACUUUCGCGAGGCCUUCGAUUUAAUCGACCAUAAUAAGUCACUUCUUAAAAUUGGUGUCAGGCCCGAACUUGAUUGCUUGGUUUGCAUCUUAUCUCCACGGAAGAUUCCAAAUAACAACGUUUCAAGGGGAACAAUCAAUUUUAAAACGAAUCUACGUUGGUGUACCACAGGAAACCAAAUCGGGGCCAAUAUCUUUUAUCCUGAAAAUUAAUGAUCUUCCGAUCCAAACCCGAUAGUGAGACUUCACUCUGCGAAACAUCUGAGGAACAAGAUGUAAUAAAGUUUAUGGACGAUACCACCUCGUAUUAAGUGAUUGAUGCAUCAUCCUUACAUCGGAAAGUCCAAUUGCAAUCUCACAGGGAAUGGGUGGAUAAAGUAAGUUUACCAGAGAUGAGAUGAUGGAACUGAACGAAGGAAAAUAUCGAUGACGAUUUUAAAUAGACGACUAACAAAGAAUAUAUCGUAAAAAAGGCAACGAAGCGAUUACAUUUUUUAAACAUUUUAAGAAGGUACGGAGCACCCAUCGAGGAUCUUUUGAUGUUCUAAUGUACUGUACAGUUAUUCGAUUUGUCCUUGAAUAAGAUGCAAAAGGAUAAUGUAGAAAGAGUUCAGAGAAGGGCUCUUAAUAUAUAUCCUGGUCAUCUGGACAUAGGGACUAUAGUAGCACUGAAUUAAACGUGAGUAAACUGGAAUCCCUGGAAGAACACAGAAACAAAGCAUGUAUACUAAUGAUUAAAGAUUUGAUCGAUCCGAAUCACCGGCUUCAUGAAUUGCUGCCAAAACAAGUAAAAAACGUAAGGAAGAAGGAAACGAGAUUGGAUAAAGACAGAUAACCACUCAAGGCACAUAAUCCGGGUGAUUGACGAGAAACAUCUCACAAAAACGAGGAUGAAAGGCUGGAAAUCUUCGGACAUUGCAGAAACACUUGCAGGACUAGCAACCGCCGGCGUGGCCUCAGCCUCUGGACCAGUUUUCUCC
Long non-coding RNA from Dendronephthya gigantea, 1069 nucleotides. RefSeq lists it as uncharacterized. The record is from RefSeq and is a predicted model, not a curated record. NCBI's taxonomy places the organism in Eukaryota, Metazoa, Cnidaria, Anthozoa, Malacalcyonacea, Nephtheidae. The transcript has 4 exons.